RNAcentral lists this ribosomal RNA (461 nucleotides) under uncultured bacterium. RNAcentral's name for it is "partial 16S ribosomal RNA". It matches the Rfam family "Bacterial small subunit ribosomal RNA", at positions 339 to 795 of the family's 1533-position model. The record is from RNAcentral.
CUACGGGGCGCACCAGUCGAGAAUCUUCCGCAAUGGACGAAAGUCUGACGGAGCGACGCCGCGUGCGGGAUGAAGGCCUUCGGGUUGUAAACCGCUGUCAGUGGGGAGGAAAUGCAUCAGGGUUCUCCCUGGUGUUUGACCGAUCCGCAGAGGAAGCGCAGGCUAAGAUCGUGCCAGCAGCCGCGGUAACACGAACUGCGCGAACGAUAUUCGGAAUCACUGGGCUUAAAGAGUUCGUAGGCGGCCUUUCAAGUCGGGUGUGAAAUCCCUCGGCUCAACCGAGGAAUUGCGCCUGAUACUGUUGGGCUUGAGGGGGAUAGGGGUGAGCGGAACUGAUGGUGGAGCGGUGAAAUGCGUUGAUAUCAUCAGGAACACCGGUGGCGAAGGCGGCUCACUGGAUCUCUUCUGACGCUGAGGAACGAAAGCUAGGGGAGCGAACGGGAUUAGAUACCCUGGUAGUC